GAACAGUGGGUUACCUGCCUCGAUGACCGGGACAACCCGAGGAAACUCGGGCUAAUACCGGAUGUGCCCGCAAGGGGAAAGGAAGCUUCGGCCUCCGCAUCGAGAUGGGCCCGCGGCCCAUUAGCUUGUUGGUGAGGUAACGGCUCACCAAGGCUUUGAUGGGUAGCUGGUCUGAGAGGACGAUCAGCCACACUGGGACUGAGACACGGCCCAG
RNAcentral lists this ribosomal RNA (214 nucleotides) under uncultured bacterium. RNAcentral's name for it is "partial 16S ribosomal RNA". It matches the Rfam family "Bacterial small subunit ribosomal RNA", at positions 112 to 334 of the family's 1533-position model. The record is from RNAcentral.